RNAcentral lists this unclassified non-coding RNA (3125 nucleotides) under Dimorphilus gyrociliatus. Its description in RNAcentral is "hypothetical protein". Lineage: Eukaryota; Metazoa; Annelida; Polychaeta; Dinophilidae. The record is from RNAcentral.
AUUCGUUGUUUCGUUGCUGUUGGAAUAAAACCUCUCACUAAUUUGCCAUAAGGAUUAAUGAAAAUUGAACUUCCUCCUAUUAAUGGAAAAUGUUUUUAUACUACCUUUUUUAUAUAUUUUGUAAAAUACUAUGGAUUACGUGUAUGAAUAUUCAAUCAGAGUGUACAUGGAGGUAUGUAAUCAAUUAGUUAAAAGACAGAUAGAUAGAUAGACAGAUAGGUAACAGCUAUACAUUUGUAUCUCACUAAGUAAUCUUUAUCUUGUCUUUUUAAUAUAAAGUUAUAGAUAAAAUUAACAAUUUUUGACAUUAAUUGAAAAUAGAGGAAAAAGGGAGAUAAAUCUUUAAGAAUAAUGUUUUUCUUAUAUUUGCUUGCUCUUUAAAUAAGUGUUUACAUAUAAAGAGAGAUUUAAGAAAGAGAGAGAGAGAGAGAGAGAGAGAGAGAGAGAGAGAGAGAGAGAGAGAGAGAGGGAAAACCCAAUUUUACUGACAAAUAGUUUUUAGCUUUUCAAUGUAUCCUCAUUGUAAAUUAUCGUCUUUAUACUUUUCUUCCGACUUAGGAUACUUAAUUAGUUAGGAUAAAAGAGACAAAAACCUUAUAUAAUAGGAAUUCUAUUUAUAUAAAUAAUAAGACUUAUAUAAAAAGUUAAGAAAUUGCAAUUUCUGUUUCUAUUCUUAUAAUAUAUUGCCUGAGUUGACUAUACAUAAUUUAACUUUGAUUAAAUGGCGGUUUAUAUAAAAACGGCAAACAUUUAAGUAUUUAUUAUUAGGCUUAACAAACAUUUGUAUAAAUCUAGCGCUUUAAUCCUCUUCUUUAUCCUUUGAAAGACUUGUUAAAAUUGAAGUUCUGGUUGAAAGUAUUUUUUUUAUAACGAAAAAUUGUAUGGAGAAAGUAACAAUUUAUUACGUUAUUUAUAAGUGAUAGCCUUCGGGCCUAGGAAUAAUAAAAUCUUUUAAAUCUUUCAUUAAUAUUCUUAUGAAAAGCUUAUAGGUUUUUCCUUCUCAACUUUAGAAAGUCUUUUUAGAAAAAUUUCUAACAAUUAAUCACUUUAUUUCUUCUUCUUUUUUUUUAAUAGAACAUCCAUGUCAGCUAAUAUGCCAGAAAUACAAGAAAUAACAACCUAUUCACACUGCAAAAUUGGUUCAAUAUACUGGAAUAAUCCAAGAAAUACAACGUUAAAAUUGACAUUUCAAAUUCGCCGUGGAAAUUAUAAAACAUGUAUCGAAUUGAAUCCGAACUACCUUCGAAAGAUGUUCAUAGAAUAUUCAGAUGAUAAAGUUCAACGAUUUAAAAAUCGUAUAAAAUGUUUUAAAGAUGGAGAUAACCAUCGAUCAUUGAUAUAUUUUUAUCCAAAUGCUGUUUUGUCACCUUCAGUUAUUCAUAUAAAAUUUCGAAGAUAUUAAAAUAACAGUCUAUUUUUGACUUUCUAACUUUUACUUUUUUUUUUAAAUAUAACCACACAAUUCUUAUCUUUUUUACCAAAAAGAAGUUUACCUUAAAUGAAUGAGUAACAUGUGAAGAAAAACAAGAAGCUACUUAAGAAAAACCAAGAAAAUUGUAUUUUAUUAAAAAGAUAAUAGUAUUGUUAAUAAAACAUAUGUCAAUAAAUUUAUAUUUGGUAUCUUUGAAAACGACAUCUAGAGGGUAAAUCAUGAAUGAAAAGUAUAAUAAAAAAAAGAAAUAUCAUAAGAAGUGUAAAUAAUAAUUCUUUGCUGCUUACUUUAAUCGACGAUAUUUCUUUUACUGCUCUAGUAGAAUGGGAAAUUCGCAAAGAGUACUAGGUUUACCCUUUUUAUUGCGAAACCUCUACCGGUUUGAAAUGUUAUGGUUUUUUUUCUUUUCUUUUUCCAAUUGAGUAAUAACCGUGUUUACUUUUUGGUUCUUCGAUACCUGUUUUAUAGAUAUAUACAAAUCAAUCUUUAAUAAAUUGUUGAUUAACCAUCAGCCUAAGUUCUAAUUUAUUUUAAAUUAUUUAAAAGAUGAUAAAGCCAUCUAAAAUUAUAUACAAUAAAGAACCGUUACCCUCGAAUGUUUGAGCAGAAAUUAUUUAUAUAAACGGGAAGGUUGAAGAUAUCGGUUGUCAUAGGGAAAAUAGUAAAUUGACCGAAUCGCAUAAUUUUUUGUCAUCAAAGAGAAGUUUCUUGGUGAAAGCAGGGUAUUUUUUCGUUAAUGUUAUAACUGAACUAUAUUUAGCCGGUUGGAUUAGAUAUUUAACUGCUAUCAAAGACGUCACGGAAUUUCCACACGAAGAGUAUAAAUACGGUUAAUAAUUCAAGUUGAUCUCAAAACCAAAUUUACUAUCAAACAGAGAGGGUUAUAUAACCGACCAUUAACAAACUGUUUUAGACAUAUUAAUUUAUCUCAGAAUUAUGAAUAUGAUUUUUCAAUUAUUGUCUUUUCUUCUAUUUCUUCAACAAGUUCUUCUUGUUCCUAUUGGAAAUAGUUCAGAUUGUCUUGAUCCGCCUAAUUUAAAAGGAAAACUCAUUCAAUAUCGUCUAGAAAAUGAACCCUAUCCCACUACACACAGUGAAAGACAUUCGGCUAAUUUUGGCAAUCUCUUGAAGGAUAUUGGCGAAAAUUCUACUUGUCCUGCCUCUCUUAACGAAUUAAUUGAAACGCUACGAAUUAAGAAAGCUUUAUACAAAUCUUUAGGAAGUAAUAAUUUCGAUACAAAAGUUUCAACCUGCCCAACUUAUCCCGCAGUUAGUUUUAAUAAGAAUCGAUAUCCAAAGGCAAUUAAGCAAGUUAUGUGCCGUUGUACAUCUUCCGAAGGAAGUGGGUGUCUUAGAAAGAACGGGAGAACCAAUUUAAGAUUCGAGUGCGUACCUGUAGUUGCAAAAAUAUUGGUUCUAAAUAAGAUAGGCUGUAAAGGUCAUUACGCUGAAUACGUUCCGGAAUGGGAAGAACAAAGAAUCGGAUGUAGCUGUCGUGCCUCCUCACUCUUUGCUUAUAUAGGAAACAACUAAAGGUAAAAAGUCAAAAUGAAGAAAUAUUGUUUUAAUAUUUCUAGUCUUGUCAUAUACAGUAUAUAUUAAUAUUUAUGAAUAUUUAUGAUUUAUAUGUUACUCUCUCGUAAAAUGCUAUAUUUUAUUGUUAUAAUGAAUACAACUAUAAACAAAAUGUGAU